Cyprinus carpio (common carp) is the source of this 1004-nucleotide long non-coding RNA. RefSeq lists it as uncharacterized. The transcript has 4 exons. The record is from RefSeq and is a predicted model, not a curated record. Lineage: Eukaryota; Metazoa; Chordata; Actinopteri; Cypriniformes; Cyprinidae.
ACAUGGGCUGAAUGUGGCUGAGUGAGAUCAGUGUAUUUAUUAAUCAUGUUAUGAAAUUUUUGUAAGUUUGUUUUCUUCAGUAGACCUUCACCACAGUUAGUGCAUCUAUAUUUUUACUUGUGAUGUGAUGUGGUGACAUUACUGACCACUUAAGUACUGAUGGCAUGCAAAAUAAGAUCUGCGAUUCAAUGUCUCUGUUGUUUCAGUUUUAUGAUGACAGCAUCACAACGAUAUUCUUAGCUAUGCACAUAGAUGAUGUCUUCACUCUUUAACCCUCCUUCAUUCUGUGCUGAUUUCAAACAUCCACCCUGCACACACUCAAGGGAGACCAAAAGCGGCAGUGAUGAUAAAUGAAAAUGAUGAAUCCCUCACUGUCAGAUGUGAAAUACCAGGACCUGAAGAUGACUGGACAUACAGCUGGUUUAUAGAGGGGUCAUCUCUUCCCUUCAGCUCUGACAGAGAAUUCAGCAUCAGAACUGGUGUAUCUGACACUAGCAGUAACGUCACCUGUAGAGGAGAGAGAGAAAGUAAUGGACAGAAGUCAGAAAUCAGUGGUGCUGUUACACUGACUGUAUCACAGGCACCUAAAGCUCGUCUGACUGUUCAGACAGAAACAUCACAGAUAUUCAGAGGAGAGACUGUCACUCUCACAUGUGACGUACAGGGGGAAGGUUGGAGAUACACAUGGCAGUGUGGAGAUAAACAGCAAAACUCUGAUGAGGAAGAGUUCAAGAGCACUGUACAGUUCAAACAGUCAUGCAAGUGUAAAGGCUGCAGAGAAUCAUUCUGCUCUGAAUGGAGUGAUGCUGAGACGCUGACUGAUUCGUGUGAGUGAUCAUCACUGAUACACAUCAGGAUCUUGAUCAAAUGCAUAAACAAUUAAUUGCCUCCAACUGAGAAAAACAUACCAGUAAACAUUUCUAGAUGCUGUAUGUGAGACAGACUGAAUGUUAAUAGUGUCUGCUUAAUCUCAAUACAUGACAUUAACUUACCACAUACUGUGU